UCUUGGUGGAAGGAUCCCAGUUAGUGUCCUUCACAGCUGUGACUGGCAUAUGGAAGAAACCUGGAAAAAGGACAUGUCUCUUCGCUGAUGACAUGCCCCAAAGACUUAUUUCUAAAGAACCAGUUCCUACUGUUGCAUUCCUUCCUACUGCUAAAGAAAUUCCCUAGGUUGUCCUGGGUCCUGAGAUUACAUCUUUCUCAAGUAAUGUGUAAAACAGACACCCUGACUCUUUCCGUAUCCUAAGCUGACACCCUUGAAGAGUUGAUGAUGGUGUAAAGUUUGAAGAUGGAGCAAAUAUAUCUGUGGACUCUUUUGCACAUUACUUUCCCCCCCUCUAUUCAGGGUAGAAAUAGGGCUGGUGGACGGAAGCUACCAAAAAAUAUUUUAAUCAAUACUAAUAAAAACUUUCUAAAAAUGAGGGUAACAAAAAAGAUGGGAGCUGCUUCCUGGAGUGGCACUGAGUGGUUCCUGACAUAUUGUAGAUUUCUCAAUAAAUUACUAACUCUUAUAUAUCUUACAGUUGUUUCAAAAACUUUCAGAGUAAGAAAGUAUCAAGGUUAUGCUGGCCUCACCAAAGUGAUUUAGAAAACAUUAUAUCUUUUUCUAUACUCAGGAAGAGAGUACAU
RNAcentral lists this long non-coding RNA (626 nucleotides) under Homo sapiens (human). Its description in RNAcentral is "non-protein coding RNA, associated with MAP kinase pathway and growth arrest". The record is from RNAcentral. Lineage: Eukaryota; Metazoa; Chordata; Mammalia; Primates; Hominidae.